RNAcentral lists this small RNA (445 nucleotides) under Pongo abelii (Sumatran orangutan). RNAcentral's name for it is "sense overlapping". The stretch from base 1 to 263 matches the Rfam family "SOX2 overlapping transcript exon 3". Rfam says of the family: SOX2 overlapping transcript (SOX2OT) is a long non-coding RNA, containing at least 5 exons. The SOX2 gene, an important regulator of neurogenesis, lies within one of the introns of SOX2OT. SOX2OT and SOX2DOT (an isoform of SOXOT transcribed from a distal highly conserved element) are expressed in zones of neurogenesis within the brain. The record is from RNAcentral. Lineage: Eukaryota; Metazoa; Chordata; Mammalia; Primates; Hominidae.
CUAGGUCUUGGAGGCUGGUGUAAGGCGAUGCGGGUGAAGGCAGGAGGCUGAUGGAAAGACUGGGGGGAAGAAAAGCCGAAAUGGAUUCACGGUGCCUUGGAUGAAGGACGAGAGGGGAACUGCAAGCUCCUUCAACUGGUUCUGUCCGGUGAGAAGUGAUCAAGCUUGGGCUGACAAGAGGCUCAGGGAGCCCUCACGUUCUUUCGCUUUUUUACCUGCCAAUCAAACUGCUACAAGACAACACCCUGAUCUGGCAUGGACAUAAUCAAGCUUUGGUCAUUCUGGAAGUCGUGUAGCAUGCUCCAAUUUGAAGUGACUGAGAUCUUUUGUGACUUACAGAGGAGAAGGAAAUGUUUUAAAAAUUGGCUUAUGCCAGUCUCCUUACUCUGCAAUUCUCAAUUUUCUUGUAUUACAGGAUAAAUAUAAAUAUCAUCUCACCAAAUUG